Molecule: non-coding RNA, 102 nt
Organism: Pseudogymnoascus pannorum
Lineage: Eukaryota; Fungi; Ascomycota; Leotiomycetes; Thelebolales; Thelebolaceae
Source: Rfam
GCCCCCAUAGCUCAGUUGGUAGAGCGCGGCACUAGUACGAUUCAUGGUCACGUGAUAUCUCGUGAUAUGCCGAGGUCUACGGUUCAACUCCGUAUGUGGGCA